Molecule: ribosomal RNA, 492 nt
Filed under: uncultured bacterium
Lineage: Bacteria
Description: partial 16S ribosomal RNA
Rfam family: Bacterial small subunit ribosomal RNA
Source: RNAcentral
AGUGGACGCUGGCGGUAGGCCUAACACAUGCAAGUCGAACGGCAGCACAGUAAGAGCUUGCUCUUACGGGUGGCGAGUGGCGGACGGGUGAGGAAUACAUCGGAAUCUACUUUUUCGUGGGGGAUAAUGUAGGGAAACUUACGCUAAUACCGCAUACGACCUACGGGUGAAAGCAGGGGAUCUUCGGACCUUGCGCGAUUGAAUGAGCCGAUGUCGGAUUAGCUAGUUGGCGGGGUAAAGGCCCACCAAGGCGACGAUCCGUAGCUGGUCUGAGAGGAUGAUCAGCCACACUGGAACUGAGACACGGUCCAGACUCCUACGGGAGGCAGCAGUGGGGAAUAUUGGACAAUGGGCGCAAGCCUGAUCCAGCCAUACCGCGUGGGUGAAGAAGGCCUUCGGGUUGUAAAGCCCUUUUGUUGGGAAAGAAAAGCAGCAGGUUAAUACCCCGCUGUUCUGACGGUACCCAAAGAAUAAGCACCGGCUAACUUCGUG